RNAcentral lists this long non-coding RNA (771 nucleotides) under Equus caballus (horse). Its description in RNAcentral is "lncRNA (ENSECAG00000047907.1)". Lineage: Eukaryota; Metazoa; Chordata; Mammalia; Perissodactyla; Equidae. The record is from RNAcentral.
GUGAAAUCUAUUGGCUGGAAGAGUCUGCACUCUCUCCACACGAAGGAUGUCUUGCCUUAGGGAAUAGAAACUUUCAAGUCCAGGGCCCAAGCCUCCCUCUCCCCAGGAAGGUGCUGUUUGGAUAAAGCCGGCACUAGCCUUUGAGAUUUGUUUUCCGUUUUUUGCUCAACCCUUGCUUUCCUCAGAGACAUAAACUAAUUCAAUUAGGAUGCAGUCAAGUGUUGGAGGCCUGUGAACCAUUCUGACCAUAUAAGAUGUAUUUCCCUUAAUCAUAAAGAUGAUGUCAAAACUCAUUUGGAAACGUCUUCAGAACUCUCAUUAGCAACAUGAGGAAAAUUUUCAUUGACUUGACUGAAGGAACAGAUGAGCACGUCCAUAUAUAUUCUUGAAAGGGAAGACAAAAGCCUGCUCGCCAAUGAUGAAGGAAGAUUAGCCCUGAGCUAUCUGCCACCAAUCCUCCUCUUUUUGCUGAGGAAGACAGGCCCUGAGCUAACAUCUGUGCCCCAUCUUCCUCUACUUUAUAUGUGGGAUGCCUGCCACAGCAUGGCUGGACAAGCAGUGCCAUGUCUGCACCCAGGGACCAGGAUCCAAACUGGUGAACCCCAGGCCACCGAAGCAGAAUGUGUGAACCAAAGUGCUUUGCCACCAGGACAGCCCCUCUUGUACCUUUAUCAUAAUGUGAAGAAAGUGAAAAAUGAUGUAAAGCAACAAAUAUUUUUCCUUCAUAAUAUAUAUUUUUGGUGACAGCUUUAUUGAGAUAUAAUUCACAUA